GAUGAACGCUAGCGGCAGGCCUAACACAUGCAAGUCGAGGGGUAGAACACUUCGGUGUUUGAGACCGGCGCACGGGUGCGUAACGCGUAUGCAAUCUACCUUAUACAGGGGAAUAGCCCAGAGAAAUUUGGAUUAAUGCCCCAUAGCAUUACGACUUGGCAUCAAGAUGUAAUUAAAGUUCCAACGGUAUAAGAUGAGCAUGCGUCCCAUUAGUUAGUUGGUAAGGUAACGGCUUACCAAGACGAUGAUGGGUAGGGGUCCUGAGAGGGAGGUCCCACACACUGGUACUGAGACACGGACCAGACUCCUAAGGGAGGCAGCAGUGAGGAAUAUUGGUCAAUGGUCGCAAGACUGAACCAGCCAUGCCGCGUGCAGGAAGACGGUCCUAUGGAUUGUAAACUGCUUUUAUACAGGAAGAAACCCUCCCACGUGUGGGAGCUUGACGGUACUGUAGGAAUAAGGAUCGGCUAACUCCGUGCCAGCCGCCGCGGUAA
RNAcentral lists this ribosomal RNA (494 nucleotides) under uncultured bacterium. RNAcentral describes it as "partial 16S ribosomal RNA". It matches the Rfam family "Bacterial small subunit ribosomal RNA", at positions 28 to 523 of the family's 1533-position model. The record is from RNAcentral.